AACCCAGAGAAGGAAGCAGAGCAGCCCCGUGGACGGUUCAAGCUCCACCCAAAGCUGUAGAAGUAAAGAGAAGUCACCGUGGCAGGCCUGGGUCCCACAGCCCUUGGGCUCUGACCAGCUCUGCAGGGACCCCCAAGCCUGAGGAAGACGCAUACACGCCCUGGUCUCUUGAAGCUGCCCCUGCUCCGAAGGUUAGCAGGUCCAAAGUGGUCUCCAUGCUAACAACAACUUGACCGAAUCUGCAGAGAAAGAGGCAUCGCUACCCCCUGAUUUGCAAACAGAAAACCCAGGGCCAAGAGACCGUGCCCAAGAUCAAACACAAGCACACGAACUGAGAUUGCUGACCAGCGCUUCUUUUGUUUUCCCAAUUGGUGCUGAUCAUGAUGUGGGGAGCCCAUCAGACCCCGCGUAGCCACAGAACCGGCACCACCCUCUGCACUGAAGAUGCCCACAAGAGCCCCUGCACCCCCUUCUCUACGCCUCUGUGCCAGGUGCAGCGAGAAGGUCACUAGGAUUGUCGCCUUCCAGAAGAUUCUCCACCCUGUGGCUCCUGACCAACUCUCUCCACCAGACCCCCCAUGCCCAAGGGGUCCUUCCUCCUUGGG
Molecule: non-coding RNA, 605 nt
Organism: Leptonychotes weddellii (Weddell seal)
Lineage: Eukaryota; Metazoa; Chordata; Mammalia; Carnivora; Phocidae
Source: RefSeq, a predicted model, not a curated record